UGGGGAAUAUUGGACAAUGGAGGAAACUCUGAUCCAGCAAUUCUGUGUGUGUGAAGAAGGUUUUAGGACUGUAAAACACUUUUAGUAGGGAAGAAAAAAAUGACGGUACCUACAGAAGAAGCAACGGCUAAAUACGUGCCAGCAGCCGCGGUAAUACGUAUGUUGCGAGCGUUAUCCGGAAUUAUUGGGCUUAAAGGGCAUCUAGUCGGUAAGACAAGUUGAAGGUGAAAACCUGUGGCUCAACCAUAGGCUUGCCUACAAAACUGUUGAACUAGAGUACUGGAAAGGUGGGUGGAACUACACGAGUAGAGGUGAAAUUCGUAGAUAUGUGUAGGAAUGCCGAUGAUGAAGAUAACUCACUGGACAGAAACUGACGCUGAAGUGCGAAAGAUAGGGGAGCAAACAGG
RNAcentral lists this ribosomal RNA (407 nucleotides) under Verrucomicrobiota bacterium. Its description in RNAcentral is "Verrucomicrobia bacterium partial 16S ribosomal RNA". It matches the Rfam family "Bacterial small subunit ribosomal RNA", at positions 355 to 776 of the family's 1533-position model. Lineage: Bacteria; Pseudomonadati; Verrucomicrobiota. The record is from RNAcentral.